Dromiciops gliroides (monito del monte) is the source of this 910-nucleotide long non-coding RNA. RefSeq lists it as uncharacterized. The transcript has 4 exons. The record is from RefSeq and is a predicted model, not a curated record. Lineage: Eukaryota; Metazoa; Chordata; Mammalia; Microbiotheria; Microbiotheriidae.
CCCCAGGCUUUCUUUUCAGGAUGGAGGAAAGAUGAAUAUUUUGCCUUCAUUGACAGCCCCCAUUACUUAUCUGUUUCAGACUCAAAACACCCAGAUAGUGAAACAAGCCAUAGUAGACCACCUCCUGAUCUGGGUAUUGGAAUGGCUUCUCAAGCCCUGGCUAGGGCUCCACCUGUGUUUGUGGUUUAUUACAUGCAAUGAGUGAACUGAGAAUUUGUCUUGGACAUCACCAUUCUGGGUUGGAGGCAGCGGGGUGGAACAUAAUGGAAUUCUAUUGUCUGGAAUAAUGGAAUAAUGAUUCAAGGUGACUGUACGUUUAGGACAGACGGGAAGAGCAGAGGAGAAUGCAAGCUCCUUGAAAGCAGACACCAUGAUUUUUACUUUCUUGGUAUUCCCAUUACUUACCACAAUGCCUGGAACACAGCAUUACUGGCCAGUCAGUGAAAGUCUCCUAAAUCUUCAAAGCAACCACAACAAACCAGACAGUGACCCAACAAUGAUCCUGAGAUGGCUAUUCCUAGGUUUGGCAACUUUGAUAUGAGCUCAAGAGAUUUGGAGUGAUCACAAAGUCUCCCUUUAGGAGAUGUUUGCUGCAGGUACACAUUUUUUGGAGAAGAUGACCACCUUGAGGAAGAUGAGCCAUGAAUACCAUAUGGAAUUGCUGCUUGGACAGUGUGGGUUGAGGUGAAAAUGAAAUUUGUUUAGCAAUCUCCUAAGUUUUCUUUGAGCCUUUCCCUGGGAGAGUAUAGUAGAGGAAAUGGGCUUCUAUAAGUCCUUUGAGUACAUAAUGUAUUUUCUGUAUCUGUUUAUAGUUUCCUGUGAGUCUUUUGUUAUGGGUUACUGUUUCAUGUUUUAUGUAUUUGUCAAUGCAGGCUUAUGUGUCUUUCGGUUUUAAGCCUUUCUUUUGUAU